UACGAAGGGGGCUAGCGUUGCUCGGAAUUACUGGGCGUAAAGCGCACGUAGGCGGCUUUCUAAGUCGGGGGUGAAAUCCUGGAGCUCAACUCCAGAACUGCCUUCGAUACUGGAGAGCUUGAGUCCGGGAGAGGUGAGUGGAACUGCGAGUGUAGAGGUGAAAUUCGUAGAUAUUCGCAAGAACACCAGUGGCGAAGGCGGCUCACUGGCCCGGUACUGACGCUGAGGUGCGAAAGCGUGGGAGCAA
This 247-nucleotide ribosomal RNA is filed under the name uncultured bacterium. Its description in RNAcentral is "partial 16S ribosomal RNA". It matches the Rfam family "Bacterial small subunit ribosomal RNA", at positions 524 to 771 of the family's 1533-position model. The record is from RNAcentral.